GAUUUUUAUGCCCCACCUACGAUAGUAGAGGGGCAUUAUGUUUUCUGGUCUGUGCGUCCGUUCGUCCGUCUGUUCGUUCGUCCGUUCGUCCGUUCGUCCGUCUGUCCCGCUUCAGGUUAAAGUUUUUGGUCAAGGUAGUUUUUGAUGAAGUUGAAGUCCAAUCAACUUGAAACUUAGUAUACAUGUGCCCUAUGAUAUGAUCUUUCUAAUUUUAA
Molecule: long non-coding RNA, 215 nt
Filed under: Mytilus galloprovincialis (Mediterranean mussel)
Lineage: Eukaryota; Metazoa; Mollusca; Bivalvia; Mytilida; Mytilidae
Source: RNAcentral